AAGUCGUAACAAGGUUUCCGUAGGUGAACCUGCGGAAGGAUCAUUACAGUAUUCUUUUGCCAGCGCUUAAUUGCGCGGCGAAAAACCUUACACACUAUGUUUUUUUAAUUUGAACUAUUGCUUGUCUGUCAGUUAAAUGAAAUAGGGUUGGGGGCCCAAAAGGGUUUUUUAAUUUACCCCAAAAACCUUUCAAAUUAUUUUAAUUGAAUUUGUUAUUUUAAUUUUUUGUCAAUUUGUUGAUUAAAUUCAAAAACUUCAAAA
This 261-nucleotide unclassified non-coding RNA is filed under the name plant metagenome. RNAcentral describes it as "partial contains small subunit ribosomal RNA and internal transcribed spacer 1". The stretch from base 1 to 46 matches the Rfam family "Eukaryotic small subunit ribosomal RNA", at positions 1786 to 1831 of the family's 1831-position model. The record is from RNAcentral.